Molecule: ribosomal RNA, 443 nt
Filed under: uncultured bacterium
Lineage: Bacteria
Description: partial 16S ribosomal RNA
Rfam family: Bacterial small subunit ribosomal RNA
Source: RNAcentral
CCUACGGGAGGCAGCAGUGGGGGAUAUUGGACAAUGGGGGGAACCCUGAUCCAGCGACGCCGCGUGAGUGAAGAAGUAUUUCGGUAUGUAAAGCUCUGUCAGCAGGGAAGAAAGCAAUGACGGUACCUGACCAAGAAGCCCCGGCUAACUACGUGCCAGCAGCCGCGGUAAUACGUAGGGGGCAAGCGUUAUCCGGAAUUACUGGGUGUAAAGGGUGCGUAGACGGCUGUGCAAGUCUGGAGUGAAAGGCGGGGGCCCAACCCCCGGACUGCUCUGGAACCUGUAUGGCUGGAGGGCAGGAGAGGUAAGCGGAAUUCCUAGUGUAGCGGUGAAAUGCGUAGAGAUUAGGAGGAACACCAGUGGCGAAGGCGGAUUACUGGACUGUAACUGACGUUGAGGCUCGAAAGCGUGGGGAGCAAACAGGAUUAGAUACCCCAGUAGUC